UUUCCUUUGGUUUAGUUGGUAGAGCAUUGCUCCAACAACGCAAAUGUCGUGGGUUCAAACCACAGGGAAAG
Molecule: non-coding RNA, 71 nt
Organism: Danionella cerebrum
Lineage: Eukaryota; Metazoa; Chordata; Actinopteri; Cypriniformes; Danionidae
Source: the annotation of a GenBank genome assembly